GGCUCCGUAGCUUAGUUGGUUAAAGCGCCUGUCUAGUAAACAGGAGAUCCUGGGUUCGACUCCCAGCGGGGCCU
Transfer RNA from Homo sapiens (human), 74 nucleotides. It matches the Rfam family "tRNA". Rfam says of the family: Transfer RNA (tRNA) molecules are approximately 80 nucleotides in length. Their secondary structure includes four short double-helical elements and three loops (D, anti-codon, and T loops). The record is from Rfam. Lineage: Eukaryota; Metazoa; Chordata; Mammalia; Primates; Hominidae.